Molecule: ribosomal RNA, 1561 nt
Filed under: Macroscelides proboscideus (short-eared elephant shrew)
Lineage: Eukaryota; Metazoa; Chordata; Mammalia; Macroscelidea; Macroscelididae
Description: 16S ribosomal RNA
Rfam family: Bacterial large subunit ribosomal RNA
Source: RNAcentral
AACCAAACCUAGCCCCAACAAACAUACAUAUAAUAACAUAUAAACAUAAAAUAAAACAUUUAACAAUAAAAGUAUAUGAGAUAGAAAUAUUACCAAGGGCGCUAUAGAAAAAGUACCGUAAGGGAAAGAUGAAAGAUUGUUCACAGUAAAAAAUAGCAGAGAUUAAACCUCCUACCUUUUGCAUAAUGGGCUAACUAGAAAUUCUUUGACAAAGAGACCUGAAGUCAAAACCCCCGAAACCAGACGAGCUACUUAUGAACAAUUAUUAGAAUGAACUYGUCUAUGUAGCAAAAUAGUGAGAUGAUUUGUAAGUAGAGGUGAAAAGCCAAACGAGCCUGGAGAUAGCUGGUUGUCCAAAAAAAGAAUCUAAGUUCAACCUAAAUCUAUGCCAACCUAAACCAAAAAUUAUUAUGCAAGAUUUAAAGUUAUUCAAUAGAGGUACAGCUCUAUUGAAAAUAGGACUCAACCUUACAAGGAGAGUAAGAAUAAUUACUAACCAUAGUUGGCCUAAAAGCAGCCAUCAAUUAAGAAAGCGUUAAAGCUCAAUCAAAAUUUCAUUAAUAAUACCUUUAAUAUAUACUAACUCCCUUAUACUAUAUUGGACUAUUCUAUAAAUUUAUAGAAGUAAUAAUGUUAGCAUGAGUAACAAGAACUAUUUCUCCGCGCAUGAGCUUAUAUCAGAACGAAUACUCACUGAUAGUUAACAGCCAAAUAACUAAAAACCCAAUAUAAAUCAUUUAUUAACUCUACUGUUAAUCCAACACAGGAAUGCGGCCCGGAAAGAUUAAAAGAAGUAGAAGGAACUCGGCAAACACGAACCUCGCCUGUUUACCAAAAACAUCACCUCUAGCAUUACUAGUAUUAGAGGCACUGCCUGCCCAGUGACACUAGUUAAACGGCCGCGGUACUCUGACCGUGCAAAGGUAGCAUAAUCAUUUGUUCUCUAAUUAAGGACUUGUAUGAACGGCUAGACGAGGGUUCAACUGUCUCCUACUUCCAAUCAGUGAAAUUGACCUUCCCGUGAAGAGGCGGGAAUAACUAUAUAAGACGAGAAGACCCUAUGGAGCUUAAAUUUAUUUACCUACCAGCUGCUAUCACAACCCUACUAGGAUCAACAUAACAACUAACUAGGUAAAAAAUUUCGGUUGGGGUGACCUCGGAGCAUAAAAAACCCUCCGAAUGACAUUCUAUCAUGAUCUACCAAUCUACAUCCUAGUCAAAUUGACCCAAUAUAAUUGAUCAACGGAACAAGUUACCCUAGGGAUAACAGCGCAAUUCUAUUCGAGAGUUCAUAUCGACAAUAGAGUUUACGACCUCGAUGUUGGAUCAGGACACCCCAAUGGUGCAGAAGCUAUUAAAGGUUCGUUUGUUCAACGAUUAAAGUCCUACGUGAUCUGAGUUCAGACCGGAGCAAUCCAGGUCGGUUUCUAUCUAUACCCAAUUUCUCCCAGUACGAAAGGACAAGAGAAAUAGGGCCAACUCCACAUGAGAGCCCUAACUAAAUCUAUGAAAUAAUCUUAAUUAAUAUAACUAGACCAAACUUAACCCUAGAACAGGGUAU